Non-coding RNA from Podarcis lilfordi (Lilford's wall lizard), 76 nucleotides. NCBI's taxonomy places the organism in Eukaryota, Metazoa, Chordata, Lepidosauria, Squamata, Lacertidae. The record is from the annotation of a GenBank genome assembly.
GCACAAGAUAGCUCAGCUAGUAGAGCAUGAGACUCUUAAUCUCAGGGGGUUGUGGGCUGGAGCCCCACAUUGGGCA